RNAcentral lists this ribosomal RNA (492 nucleotides) under uncultured bacterium. RNAcentral describes it as "partial 16S ribosomal RNA". It matches the Rfam family "Bacterial small subunit ribosomal RNA", at positions 29 to 507 of the family's 1533-position model. The record is from RNAcentral.
AGUGAACGCUGGCGGUAGGCCUAACACAUGCAAGUCGAACGGCAGCACAGUAAGAGCUUGCUCUUACGGGUGGCGAGUGGCGGACGGGUGAGGAAUACAUCGGAAUCUACUUUUUCGUGGGGGAUAACGUAGGGAAACUUACGCUAAUACCGCAUACGACCUACGGGUGAAAGCAGGGGAUCUUCGGACCUUGCGCGAUUGAAUGAGCCGAUGUCGGAUUAGCUAGUUGGCGGGGUAAAGGCCCACCAAGGCGACGAUCCGUAGCUGGUCUGAGAGGAUGAUCAGCAACACUGGAAGUGAGACACGGUCCAGACUCAUACGGGAGGCAGCAGUGGGGAAUAUUGGACAAUGGGCGCAAGCCUGAUCCAGCCAUACAGCGUGAGUGAAGAAGGACUUCGGGUUGUAAAGCCCUUUUGUUGGGAAAGAAAAGCAGCAGGUUAAUACCCCGCUGUUCUGACGGUACCCAAAGAAUAAGCACCGGCUAACUUCGUG